CAGCCCACUGAUAAAAUUUAAAUGGCCGCAGUACCUUGACUGUGCUAAGGUAGCAUAAUAAAUUGACUCUUAAUUGGGGCCUUGAAUGAAUGGAUAAAUGGAUAAUUUCUGUCUCAAAUAAAUUUAUUAAAAGUUACUUAAUAAGUGAAAAUUCUUAUAAUAUAAUAUAAUAGACGAGAAGACCCUAGGAGUUUAACAAAUUUUGUUGGGGCGACAAUAUAGCAUAUUUAUUAACCUAUAUACAUAAUAAUAAAUAUUAAACGAAUAAUAUUAAUAAUAAAUAAACUACCCUAGGGAUAACAGCAUAAUAUAAGUUUAAGUUUGUGACCUCGAUGUUGGACUAGGAACUUUUAACAUUAACAAUGUUAAUUGACAGUUCUGUUCGA
This 386-nucleotide ribosomal RNA is filed under the name Fastosarion minerva. RNAcentral describes it as "partial 16S large subunit ribosomal RNA". It matches the Rfam family "Archaeal large subunit ribosomal RNA", at positions 1951 to 2653 of the family's 2987-position model. Lineage: Eukaryota; Metazoa; Mollusca; Gastropoda; Stylommatophora; Helicarionidae. The record is from RNAcentral.